RNAcentral lists this transfer RNA (20 nucleotides) under Diphyscium foliosum. RNAcentral's name for it is "partial tRNA-Cys". RNAcentral also lists the same sequence under 2 other names. Lineage: Eukaryota; Viridiplantae; Streptophyta; Bryopsida; Diphysciales; Diphysciaceae. The record is from RNAcentral.
UACCACUUGGCCAUAUCGCC